ACAAUGUGCCAGAGUGGUUAAUGGGUUAGACUUGAAAUCUAAUGUCUUCGGACGCACAGGUUCGAUCCCUGUAUGAA
This is a non-coding RNA of Parastagonospora nodorum SN15, 77 nucleotides long. NCBI's taxonomy places the organism in Eukaryota, Fungi, Ascomycota, Dothideomycetes, Pleosporales, Phaeosphaeriaceae. The record is from the annotation of a RefSeq genome assembly.